CGCACAUUGCGCCCCCCGGUAUUCCGAGGGGCAUGCCUGUCCGAGCGUCAUUACAACUCUCAAGCGCAGCUUGGUAAUGGGUAUUCGCCUCCUUGCCACGGGGCGUGCCUGAAAAGUAGUGGCAGUCUAGUGUGACUUUAGAUGUAUUAAAUCUCUUCCAUCUUGAAAGUUAUUGCUGUGGCUAGCCAAAAACCAACCCCAUCUCAAAGAUUGACCUCGGAUCAGGUAGGGAUACCCGCUGAACUUAA
RNAcentral lists this unclassified non-coding RNA (248 nucleotides) under Candelariella lutella. Its description in RNAcentral is "partial contains 5.8S ribosomal RNA, internal transcribed spacer 2, and large subunit ribosomal RNA". The record is from RNAcentral. Lineage: Eukaryota; Fungi; Ascomycota; Candelariomycetes; Candelariales; Candelariaceae.